Ribosomal RNA from Metschnikowia bicuspidata var. bicuspidata NRRL YB-4993, 398 nucleotides. It matches the Rfam family "Eukaryotic large subunit ribosomal RNA", at positions 2404 to 2992 of the family's 3401-position model. The record is from Rfam. NCBI's taxonomy places the organism in Eukaryota, Fungi, Ascomycota, Pichiomycetes, Serinales, Metschnikowiaceae.
AAGAUAAUCCUCCUCAGCAUAAAUUUCUUGACUUCAAAUUAAUUGGAAUAUAAUUUCUGGCAUCUCCAUAACAGCCUGAAACGUCGCAUACUGAGGUGUUAGGCUGGGGCUUCACAUCUGUCACACAAUAAGCAGGUACUUUAAGGAGGGCACAUGUAGAAUAGGAAUCUCCAGGAGCACAAGCUUUAAAGCCCUCUUGAGUAAAUUAUCAGUCAGACAUGAAAAUCUGGCCUGUCAAUCAUUUGAAACUUCGGAAUAUUAGGUGAGGUGACAGAAAAGUAACCACAGCAAUCACUGGCAAUCAAGCAUUCAUAGCGAGAUUUCCCUGUGAUUCUGCAGUGACAAGUGGGUCUUCCCGACUUCUCUCUAUUUCUUACACAGCGGAUCAGCAGUUUUAC